This 1343-nucleotide ribosomal RNA is filed under the name uncultured bacterium. Its description in RNAcentral is "16S ribosomal RNA". It matches the Rfam family "Bacterial small subunit ribosomal RNA", at positions 28 to 1378 of the family's 1533-position model. The record is from RNAcentral.
GACGAACGCUGGCGGCGUGCUUAACACAUGCAAGUCGAACGGAAAGGCCCUGCUUUUGUGGGGUGCUCGAGUGGCGAACGGGUGAGUAACACGUGAGUAACCUGCCCUUGACUUUGGGAUAACUUCAGGAAACUGGGGCUAAUACCGGAUAGGAGCUCCUGCUGCAUGGUGGGGGUUGGAAAGUUUCGGCGGUUGGGGAUGGACUCGCGGCUUAUCAGCUUGUUGGUGGGGUAGUGGCUUACCAAGGCUUUGACGGGUAGCCGGCCUGAGAGGGUGACCGGCCACAUUGGGACUGAGAUACGGCCCAGACUCCUACGGGAGGCAGCAGUGGGGAAUAUUGCACAAUGGGCGGAAGCCUGAUGCAGCAACGCCGCGUGCGGGAUGACGGCCUUCGGGUUGUAAACCGCUUUCGCCUGUGACGAAGCGUGAGUGACGGUAAUGGGUAAAGAAGCACCGGCUAACUACGUGCCAGCAGCCGCGGUGAUACGUAGGGUGCGAGCGUUGUCCGGAUUUAUUGGGCGUAAAGGGCUCGUAGGUGGUUGAUCGCGUCGGAAGUGUAAUCUUGGGGCUUAACCCUGAGCGUGCUUUCGAUACGGGUUGACUUGAGGAAGGUAGGGGAGAAUGGAAUUCCUGGUGGAGCGGUGGAAUGCGCAGAUAUCAGGAGGAACACCAGUGGCGAAGGCGGUUCUCUGGGCCUUUCCUGACGCUGAGGAGCGAAAGCGUGGGGAGCGAACAGGCUUAGAUACCCUGGUAGUCCACGCUGUAAACGGUGGGUACUAGGUGUGGGGUCCAUUCCACGGGUUCCGUGCCGUAGCUAACGCUUUAAGUACCCCGCCUGGGGAGUACGGCCGCAAGGCUAAAACUCAAAGGAAUUGACGGGGCCCCGCACAAGCGGCGGAGCAUGCGGAUUAAUUCGAUGCAACGCGUAGAACCUUACCUGGGUUUGACAUGGAUCGGGAGUGCUCAGAGAUGGGUGUGCCUCUUUUGGGGUCGGUUCACAGGUGGUGCAUGGCUGUCGUCAGCUCGUGUCGUGAGAUGUUGGGUUAAGUCCCGCAACGAGCGCAACCCUUGUUCACUGUUGCCAGCACGUUAUGGUGGGGACUCAGUGGAGACCGCCGGGGUCAACUCGGAGGAAGGUGGGGAUGACGUCAAGUCAUCAUGCCCCUUAUGUCCAGGGCUUCACGCAUGCUACAAUGGCUGGUACAGAGAGUGGCGAGCCUGUGAGGGUGAGCGAAUCUCGGAAAGCCGGUCUCGGUUCGGAUUGGGGUCUGCAACUCGACCUCAUGAAGUCGGAGUCGCUAGUAAUCGCAGAUCAGCAACGCUGCGGUGAAUACGUUCCCGGG